AUAUCAGUCAUGCAUAGCAUAUCAAUAAGCGGAGGAAAAGAAACUAACAAGGAUUCCCUUAGUAACGGCGAUGUGAAGCGGGAAGAGCUCAAAUUUGAAAUCUUCAAGGUUUUACCUUGACGAAUUGUAGUUUAAAGAAGUGUUUUCUGUUGAAGUUUUGGUAAAAGUUCUUUGGAAUAGGACAUCAUAGAGGGUGAGAAUCCCGUAUUUGACCAUUACUUUCAGCUUUGUGAUACACUUUCAAAGAGUCGGAUUGUUUGGGAAUGCAGUCCAAAAUGGGUGGUAAAUUUCAUCUAAAGCUAAAUAUUGGCGAGAGACCGAUAGCGAACAAGUACCGUGAGGGAAAGAUGAAAAGAACUUUGAAAGGAGAGUUGAACAGUACGUGAAAUUGUCAAAAGGGAAGCGUUUGACACCAGUGUUGUUUUCUCGAAAAUCAAUUAAAAAGAGUUGGAUUUUGUGUUGUAUUGACUUUAUCAGCUUUCUUCACUCUUUUCCAGCUUUUUUUAAUGCACUUUUCGUUUAACAAGUCAACAUCAGUUUCUUUUGUUGUAAAAAGGUCAUUGGAAGGUGGCUUUCUCUUCGGAGAAAGUGUUUAUAGCCUUUGACUCAUGCAAUCGGAGAGACUGAGGUCUGCAGCGUAGAUCCUUCGGGGUUAGAUACAUUUGUGCUAAGUUAUAGCUUUUCAUAGACAACUUGUUGACUAUGUUUAGUCUUGUAGCUUACUCGCUUAUGCUAUUUUACCUACGCUUAGGAUGUUGAACUCUAUCACACACAG
Molecule: ribosomal RNA, 775 nt
Filed under: uncultured Neocallimastigales
Lineage: Eukaryota; Fungi; Neocallimastigomycota; Neocallimastigomycetes; Neocallimastigales
Description: partial large subunit ribosomal RNA
Rfam family: Eukaryotic large subunit ribosomal RNA
Source: RNAcentral